UACGAGAGGCCCAACCGUUAUUCGGAAUUACUGGGCUUAAAGAGUUCGUAGGCGGCAUGAAAAGCAGGGUGUGAAAGCCCUCGGCUCAACCGAGGAAUUGCGCUCUGAACUGUCGUGCUAGAGGAAUCUAGAGGUGAGCGGAACUGAUGGUGGAGCGGUGAAAUGCGUUGAUAUCAUCAGGAACACCGGAGGCGAAGGCGGCUCACUGGGGAUUUUCUGACGCUGAGGAACGAAAGCCAGGGGAGCGAACGGG
This 253-nucleotide ribosomal RNA is filed under the name uncultured bacterium. RNAcentral's name for it is "partial 16S ribosomal RNA". It matches the Rfam family "Bacterial small subunit ribosomal RNA", at positions 524 to 776 of the family's 1533-position model. The record is from RNAcentral.